CUGAGGUCAGGCUUCCUGUGCUUGCCUGGCAGGGGAGAAAUACGAACUGCACGCGGGAACCGAGUCCACCCCCAG
This 75-nucleotide microRNA precursor is filed under the name Nannospalax galili (Upper Galilee mountains blind mole rat). RNAcentral describes it as "miRNA (ENSNGAG00000008065.1)". The record is from RNAcentral. Lineage: Eukaryota; Metazoa; Chordata; Mammalia; Rodentia; Spalacidae.